CCUACGGGGGGCAGCAGUGGGGAAUAUUGGACAAUGGGCGUAAGCCUGAUCCAGCCAUGCCGCGUGUGUGAAGAAGGCCUUCGGGUUGUAAAGCACUUUCAGUGGGGAAGAAAGCCUUGGGGCUAAUACCCUCGAGGAAGGACAUCACCCACAGAAGAAGCACCGGCUAACUCCGUGCCAGCAGCCGCGGUAAUACGGAGGGUGCGAGCGUUAAUCGGAAUUACUGGGCGUAAAGCGCGCGUAGGCGGUCUGAUAAGCCGGUUGUGAAAGCCCCGGGCUCAACCUGGGAACGGCAUCCGGAACUGUCAGGCUAGAGUGCAGGAGAGGAAGGUAGAAUUCCCGGUGUAGCGGUGAAAUGCGUAGAGAUCGGGAGGAAUACCAGUGGCGAAGGCGGCCUUCUGGACUGACACUGACGCUGAGGUGCGAAAGCGUGGGUAGCAAACAGGAUUAGAUACCCCUGUAGUC
This 465-nucleotide ribosomal RNA is filed under the name Vreelandella stevensii. Its description in RNAcentral is "partial 16S ribosomal RNA". It matches the Rfam family "Bacterial small subunit ribosomal RNA", at positions 338 to 795 of the family's 1533-position model. Lineage: Bacteria; Pseudomonadati; Pseudomonadota; Gammaproteobacteria; Oceanospirillales; Halomonadaceae. The record is from RNAcentral.